RNAcentral lists this ribosomal RNA (502 nucleotides) under uncultured bacterium. RNAcentral's name for it is "partial 16S ribosomal RNA". It matches the Rfam family "Bacterial small subunit ribosomal RNA", at positions 30 to 523 of the family's 1533-position model. The record is from RNAcentral.
AUUGAACGCUGGCGGAAUGCUUUACACAUGCAAGUCGAACGGCAGCAUAGGUGCUUGCACCUGAUGGCGAGUGGCGAACGGGUGAGUAAUACAUCGGAACGUGCCCAGUCGUGGGGGGUAACGUAGCGAAAGUUACGCUAAUACCGCAUACGAUCUAAGGAUGAAAGCGGGGGACCGUAAGGCCUCGCGCGAUUGGAGCGGCCGAUGUCAGAUUAGGUAGUUGGUGAGGUAAAGGCUCACCAAGCCGACGAUCUGUAGCUGGUCUGAGAGGACGACCAGCCACACUGGGACUGAGACACGGCCCAGACUCCUACGGGAGGCAGCAGUGGGGAAUUUCGGACAAUGGACGCAAGUCUGAUCCAGCCAUUCCGCGUGCAGGACGAAGGCCUUCGGGUUGUAAACUGCUUUUGUACGGAACGAAAAAGCUCUUACUAAUACUAGGAGUCCAUGACGGUACCGUUAGAAUAAGCACCGGCUAACUACGUGCCAGCCGCCGCGGUAA